This 933-nucleotide ribosomal RNA is filed under the name uncultured Planctomycetaceae bacterium. Its description in RNAcentral is "bacterial SSU rRNA". It matches the Rfam family "Bacterial small subunit ribosomal RNA", at positions 56 to 994 of the family's 1533-position model. Lineage: Bacteria; Pseudomonadati; Planctomycetota; Planctomycetia; Planctomycetales; Planctomycetaceae. The record is from RNAcentral.
UGCAAGUCGAACGAGGUGCUUUUGUAGCAAUACGAGAGUAUCCUAGUGGCGAACGGGUGAGUAACGCGUUGGUGACCUACCCCAAAGUGUGGAAUAACAGUCCGAAAGGAUUGCUAAUACCGCAUGUGGUUAUCAGGCUUAGAAACUGAUAACUAAAGGAGCAAUUCGCUUUGGGAGGGACCUGCGUCCCAUCAGCUAGUUGGUGAGGUAACGGCUCACCAAGGCUACGACGGGUAGGGGGCCUGAGAGGGUGACCCCCCACAAUGGAACUGAAACACGGUCCAUACACCUACGGGUGGCUGCAGUCGAGGAUCUUCGGCAAUGGGCGCAAGCCUGACCGAGCGACGCCGCGUGUGCGAUGAAGGCCUUCGGGUUGUAAAGCACUGUCGAGGGGGAGGAAGGCGCAAGCUUGACCUAUCCCUGGAGGAAGCACGGGCUAAGUUCGUGCCAGCAGCCGCGGUAAGACGAACCGUGCGAACGUUGUUCGGAAUCACUGGGCUUAAAGGGCGCGUAGGCGGGCCGACAAGUCCGGGGUGAAAGCCCCCAGCUCAACUGGGGAAGUGCCUUGGAAACUGUCGGUCUCGAGGGAGGUAGGGGUCUGUGGAACUUCGGGUGGAGCGGUGAAAUGCGUUGAUAUCCGAAGGAACGCCGGUGGCGAAAGCGACGGACUGGAUCUCUUCUGACGCUGAGGCGCGAAAGCCAGGGGAGCAAACGGGAUUAGAUACCCCGGUAGUCCUGGCCCUAAACGAUGAGAACUAGGUAGCGGACUUACAUGGGUUCGCUGCCGAAGCAAAAGUGUUAAGUUCUCCGCCUGGGGAGUAUGGUCGCAAGGCUGAAACUAAAGGAAUUGACGGGGGCUCACACAAGCGGUGGAGCAUGUGGCUUAAUUCGAGGCUACGCGAAGAACCUUAUCCUGGGCUUGACAUAUGCGAA